GAGCUUCAUGCACUAGCUUUCUCAGCUGUGACACUCAUGGUGGCACUGGGAGCACACAGUGUGAAGAGCAUCUGCAAAUUGCUC
Molecule: microRNA precursor, 84 nt
Organism: Cricetulus griseus (Chinese hamster)
Lineage: Eukaryota; Metazoa; Chordata; Mammalia; Rodentia; Cricetidae
Source: Ensembl